GACGAACGCUGGCGGCGUGCUUAACACAUGCAAGUCGAGCGGUAAGGCCCUUUCGGGGGUACACGAGCGGCGAACGGGUGAGUAACACGUGGGUGACCUGCCCUCAGCUCUGGGAUAAGCCUGGGAAACCGGGUCUAAUACUGGAUAUGACUCCAUGACGCAUGUUGUGGGGUGGAAAGCCUUGUGCGGCUGAGGAUGGGCCCGCGGCCUAUCAGCUUGUUGGGUGGGGUGAUGGCCUACCAAGGCGACGACGGGUAGCCGGCCUGAGAGGGCGACCGGCCACACUGGGACUGAGACACGGCCCAGACUCCUACGGGAGGCAGCAGUGGGGAAUCUUGCGCAAUGGGCGAAAGCCUGACGCAGCGACGCCGCGUGAGGGAUGACGGCCUCGGUGUAAC
Molecule: ribosomal RNA, 398 nt
Filed under: uncultured bacterium
Lineage: Bacteria
Description: bacterial SSU rRNA
Rfam family: Bacterial small subunit ribosomal RNA
Source: RNAcentral